RNAcentral lists this non-coding RNA (24 nucleotides) under Cricetulus griseus (Chinese hamster). The record is from RNAcentral. Lineage: Eukaryota; Metazoa; Chordata; Mammalia; Rodentia; Cricetidae.
ACCGGGCUGGCUUCAAACUUUGAG